GUGCCAGCAGCCGCGGUAAUACGUAGGGUGCAAGCGUUGUCCGGAAUUAUUGGGCGUAAAGAGCUCGUAGGCGGCUUGUCACGUCUGCUGUGAAAACUUGGGGCUCAACUCCAAGCCUGCAGUGGAUACGGGCUAGCUAGAGUGCGGUAGGGGAGACUGGAAUUCCUGGUGUAGCGGUGAAAUGCGCAGAUAUCAGGAGGAACACCGGUGGCGAAGGCGGGUCUCUGGACCGAUACUGACGCUGAGGAGCGAAAGCGUGGGGAGCGAACAGGAUUAGAUACCCGCGUAGUCC
Molecule: ribosomal RNA, 292 nt
Filed under: uncultured bacterium
Lineage: Bacteria
Description: partial 16S ribosomal RNA
Rfam family: Bacterial small subunit ribosomal RNA
Source: RNAcentral